RNAcentral lists this ribosomal RNA (501 nucleotides) under Palola sp. AS-2005. Its description in RNAcentral is "partial 16S ribosomal RNA". It matches the Rfam family "Bacterial large subunit ribosomal RNA", at positions 1816 to 2597 of the family's 2925-position model. Lineage: Eukaryota; Metazoa; Annelida; Polychaeta; Eunicida; Eunicidae. The record is from RNAcentral.
CGCCUGUAGUAUCUCCAAAUUACAGGUACAUCCUGCCCGGUGAAUUACUUAAACGGCUGCGGUAUCCUGACCGUGCAAAGGUAGCAUAAUCAUUUGCCCCCUAAUUAGGGGCUAGCAUGAAUGGACAAACGAGAUUAUACCUGUCUCCUUUAUAUUCAUAAAAAUUAAUCUACAGGUGAAGAAGCCUGUAUCCAUAUAAAAGACAAGAAGACCCUGUCGAGCUUUAUUUAUUUAUAAAACAAUGUAACAACAAAUACUCCCCCUUAUAAAUAACCUUUGUUGGGGCGACAAUGGAGCACAUAAAACCUCCAAUACACCCAAGACAUCAAGUCUCCCAAAAGAUCCCCUAAAGGACAUCAGGCACUAGCUACCGCAGGGAUAACAGACUAAUCUUCCUCAAGAGCCCAAAUCUACAGGAAGGCUUGGCACCUCGAUGUUGGCUUAGGAUCACGCUUGAAUGCAGCCAUUCAAGUCGUAGGUUUGUUCAACCUUUAAUCUCCU